RNAcentral lists this ribosomal RNA (492 nucleotides) under uncultured bacterium. RNAcentral's name for it is "partial 16S ribosomal RNA". It matches the Rfam family "Bacterial small subunit ribosomal RNA", at positions 29 to 507 of the family's 1533-position model. The record is from RNAcentral.
AGUGAACGCUGGCGGUAGGCCUAACACAUGCAAGUCGAACGGCAGCACGGUAAGAGCUUGCUCUUACGGGUGGCGAGUGGCGGACGGGUGCGGAAUACAUCGGAAUCUACUUUUUCGUGGGGGAUAACGUAGGGAAACUUACGCUAAUACCGCAUACGACCUACGGGUGAAAGCAGGGGAUCUUCGGACCUUGCGCGAUUGAAUGAGCCGAGGUCGGAUUAGCUAGUUGGCGGGGUAAAGGCCCACCAAGGCGACGAUCCGUAGCUGGUCUGAGAGGAUGAUCAGCCACACUGGAACUGAGACACGGUCCAGACACCUACGGGAGGCAGCAGUGGGGAAUAUUGGACAAUGGGCGCAAGCCUGAUCCAGCCAUACCGCGUGGGUGAAGAAGGCCUUCGGGUUGUAAAGCCCUUUUGUUGGGAAAGAAAAGCAGCAGGUUAAUACCCCGCUGUUCUGACGGUACCCAAAGAAUAAGCACCGGCUAACUUCGUG